AACAAACACACAACGUCACCAUGCAUUGUUAGCUACACAACGCCGGCGAAUAUCCGCGUUUUUUUUCCCUAAUCCGAAGUCGCAUCUCGAGAGUUAAUACUGUGUUGCUAUUUCGAGAAUUAUCGCGCGUAUUAUCGUUUGCUUUCUCUCAGGGAAAAAUUUUAAUACCCAUUCCGUGAAAAACUGUUUGGCUGAUCGUCGGAGAAAAGGAUUUCAACGCUGAUUGUUCCAAAUCCUGAUUGUUCCAAAAAGUUGGAAGCACUUCUCGGUAAAAUUUGCCGGAAAUAUCGAGCUACAGACAAAUGCUAAGUUCUUGGCGCCUUUUUCCUACGACGUGCGUGAUAAGCGCAAGCUAAGUAGAGCAAGCCUAAUCAGAUCAGACAGAGGAAACAGAAGACACACGACACCAUUGAAGAGAGAUUCAGAAGCUCGUUAAGCCCCCAGGCGGUCGAAAAUAUCAGAGAAGGAUUCGUUUCUCAUGAUUCCAACAUUUUAAAGAACGUUCAAUAACGUAAGCUCUUGUGUUCAAAAGUAACUCUUAAGAAAAGCAUAUAGGUUCUUAAGGGUAGUGUCAUACUUUUCAUUAAUACGUAUUGCAUUUCAUAUAUUUCGGCUGCAUAUUUCAUAAGUCAUUUUAGCCAUCGUUUAUAUAUAUAAAAAAUUUAUCUAGAGAAAAUGUCUGUGUUUCUGUUUACGCAUUACUUUUCAGCAUGUAAUUUUUAAAUUAAAUCUUCAAUUUCAAAUUAAAUCUUUCAAGUCUUGAAACUCUAAAAUAAAUUUUCUAGAAAAGACUUUUCAUGAUCUGCUGUGACAUUAUAAAACUUGAAAUAUAAUUUGUAAAUAUUACGAUAAAUGUGUUAUUUUAAUUAAAAUAAGAAUUUACUUGAAAGUUAUUUUUUAUAAUAACUAAUAUAAAUGAUUGGGCAUUUUAAAGCGAGACAUUGAAGGAAAAUCAUGGUUAAAAACAUUUAAUCUUUUCAUUUUUUUUAACAUCGUGUAAUCGAUGAAUAUAAUAGUCAGUCCAUAGUUACUUGUAAUGUUGCAAAAUGUUCGAUAAUACUGCAAUAUGUUAUUUAUCUUAUAGUUAAAUUCGCGAUGUUCCACACGAGAAUCUAGACGAUCUUACUUCGCAGAAUAGCCGAACUUAAUCCUAUUUUGGGAGAUCUUUGUAACUGUGCAAAGCGCAUAAUGCACCAUAUUAACUUGAGCAACAGUUACAUCUGUUACAAACUGUACAUAUUGGAUUGCUUGAAACUAUCUUACAAAUUUAGCAAAUCUAAUCAUAAGAGCUGCCUUAACAAGUAGGAAAUUGCUAUUUUUUUGUACUUAAUAUUUUCUUAAUGAAUCAGUUACAUUUAGAUCUUCGCGGUAACGAGAUUCUAUACGAGAUCCUGAAUAUAUUCAGCACACGUGACUGAUAGAACUGACAAAAAUGUCAAUGUCAUAUCGUUUGUGUCAAUAAGGCUACAUAUAACAGUCUUACGGAAAGAGUCGAAAUUAAGAUGGCAUCAUAAAUCAUAACUCGUAAUUUAUUGUUGCAUUGUUAUAUUUUUUCGAAUUUUUCGAUGGUAUGUACAACAGCAAACAAUCUUGAAAAAAUCUUUAAAAAAGAAAAUUUAAAUGCAUUAAUUUGUUUAAGUUAACUUCUACGUUAUCCUUUUACCGUAUCUGAUUUCGAAAAAAAAAAAAA
RNAcentral lists this long non-coding RNA (1690 nucleotides) under Pogonomyrmex barbatus (red harvester ant). Its description in RNAcentral is "uncharacterized LOC105429541". Lineage: Eukaryota; Metazoa; Arthropoda; Insecta; Hymenoptera; Formicidae. The record is from RNAcentral.